GUAAUGUCAAUAUUUACGUUUACAUUGUUUUGAUUAAAUAAAUAAAUAUAUAAAUGUUUUUUUUUUUUAAUUAAACAUUUAGCAGUUGUAAUAACAACAACACUUUUCUAUUUAUUCAGCUGAAUGAAUUUGAAAUCUAUAGUUUUUGAAACCCUAUAAAAGGCCGGACACAGGCCAAGAAUAUUCAUCAUUUAUAUCGAUAUGAAGUUUCUUUGCGUCUUUGUUAUUGCCGUUGUGUGCUUACUUGGAGUUGAGAUAGGACUAGCAGCUAGUUCUCCAGCUUCAGGAAUUAGUUCAAGAUGUGGAAAAAUGUUUUGCACAGCAAAUUAUUCACCAGUUUGUGGAGUUCUCAAUGGAAAACGUAGAACCUUCUCAAAUAAGUGUGUAAUGGACACACACAAUGAUUGCCAACCUACAGAAUUGAAAUAUCAGCCUUGUUAAUUCACUUCAUUAAUUUUUUUCUGAAAAAAAAGAAAUAUGUGAAUACAAAAACUACAUAAUAAAAUGUCUAAAAUUGAUUUAAAAAUAUGAUGUAAUAUUAUGAACUUUUUUUAAAAGCCUUAUGUGAUAAAUAGGAAAAA
This is a long non-coding RNA of Eupeodes corollae, 581 nucleotides long. RefSeq lists it as uncharacterized. NCBI's taxonomy places the organism in Eukaryota, Metazoa, Arthropoda, Insecta, Diptera, Syrphidae. The record is from RefSeq and is a predicted model, not a curated record. The transcript has 2 exons.